Molecule: small RNA, 95 nt
Filed under: Spermophilus dauricus (Daurian ground squirrel)
Lineage: Eukaryota; Metazoa; Chordata; Mammalia; Rodentia; Sciuridae
Description: 7SK RNA (ENSSDAG00000006949.1)
Source: RNAcentral
AUGUGAGGGUGACCUGGCUGUGACCCUCCAUCCCAUUGAUUGUCUGGCCCAUUAGACUGAUGUGGUGGCCGGGUGUCUUCUUUCCCCCCACCUCU